UCCCUGGUGGUCCAGUGGUUAGGACUCUGCGCUUCCACUGCAGGGGUCACAGGUUCAGUCCCUGGUCAGGGAA
Molecule: non-coding RNA, 73 nt
Organism: Ovis aries (sheep)
Lineage: Eukaryota; Metazoa; Chordata; Mammalia; Artiodactyla; Bovidae
Source: Rfam